Molecule: non-coding RNA, 135 nt
Filed under: Acetobacter persici
Lineage: Bacteria; Pseudomonadati; Pseudomonadota; Alphaproteobacteria; Acetobacterales; Acetobacteraceae
Source: RNAcentral
UAAAUUGACAGGGGCGCAGGGGCCGUUCAGACUAAAGGCUGAUCUGGGGAAGCUGGUGGAAAUCCGGCACGGUCGCGCCACUGUAAUCCGCUUGCUGCAAGCGGGAAGUCAGACCUCCAGCCUUGUUUUUCUGUU